RNAcentral lists this ribosomal RNA (449 nucleotides) under uncultured bacterium. RNAcentral's name for it is "partial 16S ribosomal RNA". It matches the Rfam family "Bacterial small subunit ribosomal RNA", at positions 29 to 523 of the family's 1533-position model. The record is from RNAcentral.
AACGAACGCUGGCGGCAUGCCUAACACAUGCAUGUCGAACGAAGGCUUCGGCCUUAGUGGCGCACGGGUGAGUAACGCGUAGGAAACUGCCUAUUGGUGGGGAAUACCGAAGGGAAACUGUCGCUAAUACCGCAUAAGCCCUUCGGGGGAAAGAUUUGUCGCUGAUAGAUGUGCCCGCGUCCGAUUAGGCAGUCGGUGGGGUAAUGGCUCACCAAGGCGACGACCGGUAGCUGGUCCGAGAGGAUGAUCAGCCACACUGGGACUGAGACACGGCCCAGACUCCUACGGGAGGCAGCAGUAGGGAAUAUUGGACAAUGGGCGAAAGCCUGAUCGAGCAAUGCCGCGUGAGUGAUGAAGGCCUUAGGGUUGUAAAGCUCUUUCGUGUGGGACGAUGAUGACGGUACCACCAGAAGAAGGCCCGGCUAACUUCGUGCCAGCCGCCGCGGUAA